UUUUUUUUUCUAGGCCAAAUGAAUUCUUAUAGUAGAAGACGAGCCUCAAAGGAUGGCCAGGGGCCCCACUCACUACCAGGGCACGCCUGGGUGCCUCGUGGGCACCUGGUGGCCCCCUCUGGUAUUUCUUUUCUCCAGUAUCUUUCAUAUAUUCCAAAAUAAUUCUUCGUGAAAUUUCAGCUCAUUUAGAGUUGUGCAGAAUAGGUAUAUCUGAUGUAGCUUUUUGAGGUCCAGAAUUUCAGGUGCCGGCAAUCUCCCUCUUCAUAUAAAUCUUGCAAAUUAAGAGAGAAAAUUCAUUAGAAUUGUACCACAAAGUAUUAUAUUGAUAAAAAACAUCAUAAAUAACAAUAGGUAAACAUUAUGAAAAAUGGACGUAUAAACUCCCCCAAGCUUAGACCUCCAUUGGUCUCAAGCAAUAGCCGAUAUCGAUAAACAUGACCACAUGUUUAGAGAGAGAUGUGUCGCUAAAAACGAAAUGCAGACAUAGUAACAUCAUGAUCAAUAUCAUACCAGCAAUACAUUGUAUCAUAAAACUUCUCAUGAGAAAGUAACAAUUCAUCACAACAACGAAGCAUAAGGCAUAAACUUUCUGGAAGACUAACAAACUAUGUUCUAAUUAAGUCAAUAAUGCAAUUACUAUUCAUCAUAUUUUCAGGAAGGGUCUCAUGUAAGAGCUUUUGUUUUGCAAGUCCACAUAUUCAAACUAUCAUUUAGUCUUCUAUGGCUGCUGACACUCACGGCAUAUAUAUGGAGCAAAAGUUCCAGUCAGACACAUAGAAAGAUAGGGGCUUAUAGUUUCGCCUCCUAACUCAUUUACCUCAAGGUUAAUGUCAACAAUAAUAAAAAAUGACCAUGUACAUCUAACUGGACAUAUAUGCCUAUAUCUUUCCUCACCACAUGAUGCUUGCAAAAAAAGAAAAAGGAAUAGAGGAGAACACUAUUGACUCUUGCAUGAAGACUAAAUACAUAAGAUGUAAAAGAUUGGCCCGUCGCGGAGGGAAACAAAGGUUGUCAUGCGCUUUUUGGGUUUUGGAUGUGCAAGCUUCUAAUGUAAAGGAACGUCACUUUAUAUUGCCCCUUGUGAUAGCAAACAUUAUUAUGUAGUCCGUCGCUUUUAUUUUUUUACCAUCACAAGAUCGUACAAAGCUUAUUUUCUCUUACAAUAAAAGAUCAUACAUAUUUAGAAACAAUUUUACUGCUUUAUGCACCGAUGACAACUUACUUGAAGGAUCUUACUCAAUCCAUAGGUAGAUAUAGUGGACUCCCAUGACAUGCAACUUGAGUUAAGGAUUUUGGAUGUACAAGUAGUAUCUCUACUUGGUACGGAUUUUUGGCUAGCAAACAUAUUGAGCAAACACCAGAUGUUGGAGCAUUUAUAACAAUAUAAUUUCUAUCUGAUUAUAAGCAAUCAUAACUCAUUACGUUGUCUUUCUUGUCCGACGUCAACAAUUUGUAAUGGAAUACUUAAUGAGGGCUCACAAUCGUAAAAGAUGUCCAAGAUAAUAUAUUUAUAACUGAAUCUUCUCUUCUUUUAUUAACUUCUUCAUGACUUGUAUCAUUAACCAAUACUAUGUUUGUUAACUUUUUAAAAAGUUUACCACUUAUACUUUUCUUUAUGUAAAGUCAUUACUUUUCAUGGGAUUAGCAUAUAUAUGAUAUUUUCAAUAUGUACCUCAAGGAUACAAUAAAACUGUGAUCCUAGUAGCCCCCGAGACUCUGAACAAUUUGCAAAACCAAACCGAGGAUCUAAUUCUCGCUUUGGAGCAUACUUUACGAAAGAACACGGUAAAGUAGCUAGUCUUCUCGAAAACGGUAUUGCGCUUUAAAUUUCCUGCAUUGAAUCGUCAAUGCAGUAGCCUCGAGACUGAGGUUGGGCAACAAGUCCGACCUGAGGAUCGCAUCUCCUUUGGCACAGUUCGCUGAGAACACGUAGCUAGCGAAUUUGACAUUUUGGGGCUGCUCAAGCAACCUGCUGCUGUUUAUCUUCAGUGAUAUAAUAAGAUAACAGGGUGCUCUUAAGGAAUUAAGGAUAUUGCCCAUCCUCAGUUCUUUCAUGCGACUCACGCUUUGUGGAAACCCUUGGCGCUCAUCAGUAACAAAAAGUUGUGCGGUUCCGAAAUCUGAAACUUUUGAAGCAGAUGAAUUAACGUGACUUGCAUGGAUUCGAGUGUCUCUAGAAGCCUCAGUUUUUCUGUCCCAUUUGGAAGGCUUGUAAUUAAAAGCGUUCCCAAGGCUCAGAUGUUUUAGAAGCAGAAGGUUGUCUAUUUUAUUUUAGAUGAUCAUCCAAGUGGGCACAUUCUUCAACAUCUAGAGAUUAGGAUUCUCAGCAUGUAGACACUUGCGGCCAUGCUAACAAGAGCAAAUGGUUGGCCUUCACUUCUCAUCAGAAUUUCCUUUUCUCCAUGUAAACUGAAGCUUUCUUCAAGAACAAUCGUUUCGAGUGCUGUUUCUUAGUUACCUGGUCUUCUUACUUUUUGCACAUAGCCCUUGCUAGAGUUGCAAGCGUUAAAUACUGACUGCAUAGUGGUAGUCACCAUUACUCUGCUACUUGCACCAAAAUUCAAAUUCCAUGAUACUCCAGUGAUCUGUUUCCAUAUCGUGUCGAUUACAAUGAAAUACCUGAAACAUAUAUCAGGAAAUGAUUAUUUUAAGCUAGGAUCAUGGGUUCAGUGAGCAGUCAAAAUUUAGCAUGUUGUAGCAGAAUUUGUGGGGAGGCGUGUAGAGUUAAUUAAACUUACCUCUUGUUAUGCAAGUGCUCUCUGAUAUCCGCAGCAAGCAAGUGUGACAUAGGAGCCAUCAGACACCAGCCUACCAAGUUGGUGCUCCCUUUCAUUUAUUUUACGAGAUUAUCCUUCGUUAAGAUGACCACUUUAUAGAGGAACCAAUCAAAAAAACUUGAGCAGAACUUUAGUUUUUCAAAUGUGUUUUCUACAAGAAGUCCAGCGUUAAUAAGACCCGCACACACUAAGAAAAGACAAGGAGUCAAUCAUGAUCGUAACGAGUCUGGUUCGUUAGUUAAGUUGAUCGACAUGAACCGACGUACUAAAUCAAACAAAGCGGUCCACUUAUCUAAACUAAGGCUCGCCGAAACUAGUCACUCAACGGACUUGUCACUGAUAGAUAUGGUAUUAGCAUCAACCUCCUUCCGUUGCACAAUAUCAUAACAGUUCAGGUAUUGUAAGGCCAAUGGCUCAUCUCCUAGUCAGGUAUCCUACCAGAAUCUCAUAAUACGACCAUCACCCACUCUAAAACCGCCUCUACUAAAAAAAUGCAGUCUAUACAUUCAUCAAGACCUUCCAAAAUGGUGAGUUCAAGAUCUGUGCCGUUGCUCAAGAUGAUGUCUUGGAGUGGAGGUAUUUAUUGUGUAGCAACUCUUGCCACACCCCCUCCUUCACUAAGUAACAUAUAUAGCCAUUUCCUAAGAAUAUCCCACCCCCUUGGUCUUUUGUCCUAGAAAGAAUAUCCCAGUUCUCCGAGCGAUAUUUCCUUCUAUAUUCAUUGCACUGCCGGAAGAAUUUGGAUUAGUAGUAAUCCAGUCUUUUGUGUGCCCCUUUUGAUACUUUAAAAAAUUAGAGCAUCAAUAUAUUUAGGCUGGUGAGCACAGAGUUGACUAGGAGCAGACAUCCUCCAUAGGUCAUAAGUUUUGUUUUUUCAAAGAACUGAGCUAUUUUUCAAACCAGUCUUACUGUUCACUAGUAGGGCAGAAGUGCGGCGUGAUGCCGCUCCCGUGGAAGUUCCCGCUGUUGGUAUUAUUUUUUCAACCACUUAAUACUGGUACAUGUCAUGAAUCACAAACACAUAAGACACCAAAAGCCUAAAAAAAUCAAGAUCUUUAUACAAAUCUUGAACAGUAAGACCAUUAUGAACGCUCGUCGGUGCUUUUGGUUCUUCUAGAUUCUGCAUACAAAUCUUGAACAGUUGGACAUCGGACAAUCGAUUUGACAGUACAAACUAUUAACAAGAAUACAAAAAUAUUCAGAUAAUUUCUUAUUGCUUAGUCAAAGCUAAACCCCAACUAUAGCAAGGUUCAGGGUACGGUGGCAGAGUUUAAAAUUCAAAUGCAAGGUAAACACAACACAACAAGAUACAAACCUAUCUCGGGUCCAAGGCUCAAGAGCCACAGAUGCACACGAUACAAACCCGAAGGGGGCCUUGGCUAAUAAGACGAAACACACACGCACAAACACUAAACCGAGAAAGACCACAAUAGCGACGACGAACAUCAGCCUCCAUCUCUAUGACGCUCCUCCUUGUGUCAAAUAAUGAAGGCAAAGUUGUCGAAUGAGAGGAGCAUCAAGGAUAUGACGAUGAAGAUCCCUUGGUCGGAGGCCUUGUGUUCGAUGAAGAUCC
Molecule: long non-coding RNA, 4350 nt
Filed under: Triticum aestivum (bread wheat)
Lineage: Eukaryota; Viridiplantae; Streptophyta; Magnoliopsida; Poales; Poaceae
Description: long non-coding RNA (TAES_LNC023396)
Source: RNAcentral